UCUUUUAUUUACAAUGAACGGGUAUAGUUUUGCUUAUUCAUAUAACGACUACUCCUCAAUCGCUUUCGACGCCCGAGUCUUGUGGGAGAACCCACCAAGUCCCGAGUAAGCCUUAAUUGAAAUUUUAGUUAUUACUACAUAAUCCUGCUACCUAUCUAUGAAAUUACUUUAAGCCUUAUGACUCUUUGUAAUAAAAAUUUAACAUAAUUGUAAUAAGCCAUCUUGACCUUUAUUUGCCAUAAUCGUAAAAAUACAUUAUAGUUUAUAAUUUACUAACUGCACAUUUACAUUGACACUAUUUACCAAUACAUCAUACUAUGGAUGACUUGACCUCUAGCAGUGAAGCGACUUGGAAUAAAGUGAUAUGAGAUGCCUUUACCUAUCCACAAUAGACAAAACGUGUCGAUGAACGUACGUUAGGUCGAUCACUACUUGCAAAAGGGAGAUAAAGGGAUGAGUCUCACAGAAUCAGUGAUCAUUAGCUCCGUGAGCAAGGAGUAGAUGGCAAACAAGCGUAAAGCAGUUAAUUUGAAUAAUAAAACCAGAAUAUAAAAGGAUAAUCUUAUGAAACCAAAUCACAAAUAGGGUAUUUGUGCCUUGUAGAAAUAAUGCUAUAAAUCAUAAUGCAAUACUUUCCUUGGUAAACAGUGCUGAAAAUAAAGCGUAGUAAAAUGCAUUUCAAUGCUCAAAAUCAUCCAUUUCCUUUAAAAACACAAUAGUCGUAUAAAUCACGCACGCUCCCAAAAUUUGUGGCAUGUAAACAUAACCGUGUACAUUCAUGUGUAUCAACUCAAAAUCAACUUAUAAAGCACUGAAAGCUCACAAGCAAAUAGAGGAGCUACGAAGAACAUUAACUCUCCACCAUGCAAAAGAGUACGAGUCUAAAACUCUCAAGGCUCUCGAGUAGGUAAACAUAGUAAUCACUCGUGAACCCACUUCCACAUAAUAACAAUCCUGGAGGUCUUCUUUCAUCAGAUUCCCACAACCAUGGCAGUCUCGACGAUGUUGGCCAACAUCAGAGAAAUCAAGUGGUUGCAACCAAGUAUAUCAACUUGUGGCCUAGCCACAUAUAUCAACCUGUGACCUUGCCAUGCAUAUAUCACAGACUGUGGCCCCAACCACGUCUAACAGCCCGUCGGCAAUCCAAAGGUUCUCUAGGUAGAGCUCACUUGUGCAUAAGGGUCACACUAUCUCGAUGUGACUUUCAACCUACUCUCGACGCUCUCGGUUUGUCAAAACCAUUUUCAAAACCAAAUCAAGUUUUUUGAGACUUUUGCUUUAAAUCUUUUGAAAACAAGGUUCGAUAACCUUUCAAAUUGCUUUUCACAUUAAAUGCAUGGUGUAAACAUUUGUAUAAAAAUCGAACUAAAGUCGGCUCUCAAAAGUUUGCAUUUAAACCAUUUUGACAAGUACAUUUAACUAGGCAUAUCACACAAAGAUACAAGACAUGGAUUUUGGGUACAAAACAAUGCAAAAAGGCUUGUUUCCCGAUUUCUAAAACUCUUUAUAUAUAUGUAUAUAUAUAUAUAUAUAUAUAUAUAUAUAUAUAUAUUACAUAAACAAUUUUGAAAUCAACUUNAACUUACUUAUUAUAUAUAUAUAUAUAUAUAUAUAUAUAUAUAUAUAUAUAUAUAUUCUACAUAAACAAUUUUGAAAUCAACUUGUAUCCACAAUUUCCUAUGGUUUCUACCAGCUCGUGCUUUCCACAAUAGUAGUGUAUAAAUCAUUGUAAAUCCAUUUUAAAAUCGCCUUUCAACGCUAAUAACUCAUAUUAUCCGCAAUUGCAUUUAAAGAAAAUUGGCAACGCUUAUUAAACAUAUAACAAUAUAUAGUGUAUAGAUAUUUUGAAAUAGACAUCCCUUACUCACCUUACAAUAGCGGGACACUACGUCGCUAUCAGUUCAGGUGCGUCUCUAUCUAAUGUUACUUGCCGGCCACCCGUCACCACCUCCAGUACACCACCACAGCAAACCUUCUUCACUUGUACAUGUCCUAGCAGCAAUUUAACUCAAUAUAUUUAGUGAAUGUCACCACAAAUUCAUUCAUAUUUGUUGCCUUAUGCACCACUUUCUUAGUUUUAUGCUUUUAUAUCUCAUCCCAUUUUCUUUCUCAUUCAUACAUUAAUCAUCGUUUUCAUAACUUACGUCAUGCUAGAAUCACCAUUCUUUCUCAUUUAACCUUUGCAUAUUCAUAUACAUCUUGACAUAUUUUUUUCUAAAGGAAUUCAUAUAUUUUACUUAUGUAAUUCUUUAUAUUAUACGUACUGGUAAUUUAUUUAUAAUAUUAAGUGCCCAUUUCAACCUUUUCAAGCAACUUUCAUCCAAAUCCAUCUUAUAUUUUCAUAAUAUUAACCACAUUUAUGGCAACAACAAUCAUUCCAAUCUCACUCAAUUAUUUCCAAGUUUACAUGCAUCAUAAUUGUCAUGACCCGGAACUCUCAUCGAGCCCGUGACAACCGCCGCUACGUCCCGAUAGACAUUCAUUACCCGGAAUGUCAAUCGAAAUCUCGCAAAGCUUAACAUCAGUUUUUCUCGCUUUCCCUAUGAGUAUUAGUUACUAAAAUCAUGUUUUGAGAGAUUAUAAACUAUUUCCAAAUCAAAACAAUAGAAAAAUAAUUUUUUUCUCACAGGGGCAUUUUGGUCAUUUUUCCUCAAAAAUCUCGAAAUCUGCUAAAAUGUAGUAUGCCAGUACAAAACACAUAAUUCAUAAUCAAAAAUAAGUUUAAACAUCUAAAACCUUCAUUUAAAAUGAAAUUAUGAUUAUUUUGAUAUAAUAAAAAUAAAAAAUAAAAGAAAUAUUCAAUAAAAUAUUCUAUUUUCUUAUAAAAUAAUAUUUUUAGAGUUAUACGUAAAUAAUUUUUUUUCAGCGUAAAAGCAAAAUACAUUCAUACAUACGGUAAUACAGUAAGUCAGAGUAUUUAAUUUAAUUUACAAUAACUAGUGGGCCUCCGAAUAACCAAAAUUAAGGAAGACUGUGAACCUACAGUUUGAAGGAUGCAAAUCCAAUGGUAGCUUCGAUGAAAUCCACUAUCUACAGUCUAUUCUGAGCCUUAAAUGGGUGGAAAGGAGAGUGGUGAGAUUAUAUAAUCCCAAUUAGUAAACAAAUACGAUCUAAAAUAUCUAAAGCUGAGUAAAUGGAGACAGAUUAAAAUAGAUCAUCAUACUGUAAUUUAUCACCUUUCAACUCAUUUUAACCAAAUAAAAUCAAUUCAUAUAAAUCGAGUAAUCAACAUGGCUUAUAAAUUUCUUAAAAUUUUGGUUCGUGCCAAAAUCAUUCUCAUACUCAGUUAUUAGGGAUACCUUGGCAUGGGGCUAUCCCAACCGAGUCCGCCAAGGCUGUUAAAAAUUUCGUAUACACAUAAACAUAUUUUUAUUUUGAAAACAUAGUCGUUCCUUGGCAUUGGCUGAGUUCACCCUCACGUGGUGGUUUGGCGUGAAGUGAACUCUAAGAGUGUACCUCGGGAGUUACCCUACACGCCUCUCCAACCGAGGUAAGAAUAUAACAGGGUUACCAUGCCCCUCUAAUAGGCUAAAUAAAAUCUAAACCCACCAAUUCAAUAAAAUCUCAAUCGCAUGACAUGGCAAUUAUAUCACAAUCUAACCUCUCAAGGCUAAAUACACAGUUCAUAUAUUUUCAGCACAUUUACCAAUUCAGCCAUUCAUGCAACUAUUGUCAUAAGCCAUUCGAUUCAAACCAUGAAUUUAAAAAACAUGAAAACAGUCUCCAAUUACUCUAUUUUCAAAACCAUCAUUCAAUCUCAAGACAAUUUUAUAAAAUCAUUUUCAUUUAAUCUCAUUUUGCUUAUAAAACAUAAAGAUUUACUAUUUAAUCUCAUUUUCCAUAAAAUCACAAAAUCGAAUAAAACCACUUUAGAUAAUUAAGACGAUAGUAAGGUUACUCACUAUUUUGGGAGUCGAAUUUCAAGUACUCCGAUUCUUGAUCCUCGGGUACUAUCUCUUUACUUUUGCCAGAAUGCUCACCACCUAGACAUAAUGCACAAUAAGCCAUUUACUACAUUUGUGCUAAAUUGUUAUAAAACCAAUUUAGGCUCUAUACUAAUGCAUGAAAUGGGAUGUAAAUUGUUCGGAUUAUCGUCUAAACACGAUGUUCUACACAAAUUUAAUUGUGUACUUAAAUAAAACGGUAUUGGCCUAAUUCGAUCUAUCACUCGAUUAAUUGGUCAAUAUGUCCAAUUCAACUCCAAUUAACUCCAUAUUUCUUCUAAUUCUCCAAAUCAUCAAACAUAAAUUAAAUAACUUGAAAUAUGGCAAAAUCAUCCUCACAUUUUUUCUUGGGAAUUUCGGCCGUGGUGGGUGCAUCAACACUUUGAUAUUUCCUACUUGAUUUUCUCACCAUAAUUCAUCAUUUCCUAACCAAUUCACUUGAAAUAAAAUCAAAUCCACCAUCCACACUUUACAUGGAAAAUUUAGCCAAUGAUGGGUGAUGGAAGAACAUGAAUUUUUCUUGCUUGAUUUUCAUGCUACACAUCACUAACUAACUAAAAACACUAAAAUAUCUUAAAAUCUAAUCAAAUCAAGCAUCAAAACUCCUCCCCCCAUGGUCGGCCAGCAAGGGAUUCAUCAUGCCAACUUGAUUCUCAACCAUGGAAAAUGCAAAAUAAUGCAUAGGAAAGGUAGAUCACAAGCUAGAAUUGAAAAAUCUUACCUUUUUUCACUUGUUUCCUUGAAUUUUCACACUUUUCCCUUGAAUUUUUCCACCUAGGUUUUUUGUUCUUCUUUUCUUCCUUUGUUCUUCCUUUGGCCGGCCAUAUGAAGAGAAAUGGGCUGAUUUUGUGCUGAUUUUUAAGCCAAAUAAUAAAUAGAUGAAAAUUUGACACAUGUCACCAUUCCAUUGAUCCAUGUGUCAUACUUACCCAUUAAGCAAUCUCUCUCCACCACUUAAAUUUUCUCAAUCAUCCAUGAUAAUAUUGGGUAAAAUUCUUGUGCUGGACAAGUGUUGGGUGGUGUAAAAUUACAAUUUUGCCCUUGUGGUGGCAAAAUGACUAUUUUGACCUUAUGCUAGGAAAAAUGCCGGAAUUAAAAUUCUUCACUUCUCAAACUCAAAUUAGGUUCUAAAUUGUCAAUCUUGAUCAAAAACUUCUUCCAACAUUCCAAUUUUAACCUUGGGUGGCAAAAUGACCAUUUUGCCCCUACAUCAUGAAAAUUUUAAUUUGACUCCAAAUUGGUCCUCGAACUCCGAAUCACCAUUUUAAGUUAUUCUGGGAUUUUAAAAUUCUCAAUUUCAUCUUAAAAUCUCUAUUUGGACUAGUUCGAGGCUUAAUUCAACUUAAUUGUACCAUUUGGUACAUUGUCAUCCUUUAACGAUUUUCGAGGUACCCAAGUAAGCAAACAUGCAUUCUUAUGUAAGAAUGGCAUAAUAAACAUAUUGCAGAGCUAGGCUUGACAGUACUACUCCCCUUAAAAUAAAAUUUUGAUCUCAAAAUUUCAUUUACUAAACGCAGAGAAUAGGUGGGGAUAUUGUUUUCUCAUCUAAUGCUCGACUUCUUAUGUCAUCCCCUUUAUAGGGAAUUUCUAUUUGUUCACCUCAUUUACCUCCAAUUCAACUCGAGUACUUCAUUUAUGUCUAUUAUUAUCCUUUAAAAUGACCAACAAUAACCUUUACAAUUCUGAUCUCUUAUAUCGAGACACCAAGCAUGCUUCUAUUACUAUCAUUAAACUUGAACCAUAACUCCAUCUCAAUCAUAACAAUUUCGAUCGCAUUUUAUACUUAUUUAGGUAUACCAAUCAUUAUCUUAUUACUUCAUUCCAUAUCAAACUUCUCGACUUUCAUUCAUUCAUCCUAUCCUCGUACACUAUUGGGUAGUUUAUGGCAUCAUUAACAUGCCAUACUCAUUCUUGUACAUAUCCUCAGUGUUAAGGAAGAUUAAUGGCUUCAAUUAUUUCCACAUACUUCAUGUUUACCUUGCAUUUAGGAAAUUUCAAUCUUCUUAAUCCUAUUAAUCCAUCUCAUAAGGCUUAAUCUCUUGUCUUCUUUAUUUCUUAAGAUUUGACUUCAGUCAACAUAUUAUUCAUCUUAACACUCCACAUGUUAAUUUAUUUUUAUGUAGCCAUCUCAAAAACUCUCUGACUUUUUCUUCUCUUACAUGCCAAUAUAUAAGGCAAUAAAGAACUUUGCAAUUUCACUCAUUAUCUUUAUCUUAAUACCUCCUCAAUGCACUUAAAACUCCAAACAACAAAGCUUAGCAUCAAAACCAAUGACCAUUCUUCAACUCGUGAGUUUCAUCUUCAUGCCACUCUCAAUUUUCUCGUGCUUUCUAGCCAUAAAGGGUUCUUAACCAAUUACAUUUAUAAAGUGGAUAAUUCACUUAAUUAUUACAUCUCGUCCUUGCAGUUAUAAGAUCAAGAUAUCUCGAAUUUAAGAUGCAAAAGUUCCCUCCAAGAGCAUAUCCAAAAAUCCACAUAUUUCAAGUCCCACCUUAAGACAUCUUUCCCAUAUGGUGUAAUGAAUUCACAAUAUAUACAUCAGCAUACACAUAAUUACUUAUUAUUUAUAGUAUCCCACUAUUUUCAUUAUCCAUUAUUAAUCAUCUUCCUUGUCUUCUAACUCCAAUAGUUUAUUAACUUCCAGUACAAAGACCACGAAAAUAGUUCAUCUUUCACUACAUUUAUACUCACAAUCCUUAUUAAUAAAAAAUUUAUCUUUUUCAAGUUCCUUCAUUUAUCUCUAAUGGACCAUAUUUGUAUUAGAUUAUCUUCCUAUAAUGUUAUGGCAUCAUUUUAUACUUCCUUCACCCUCAAGUUUACAAUCUUUAACUUUAUCACAUUAAUCGCUCAAAAUGUCAUCUAGAGCCUCAUUGAUUUCUUCCAUAUCCUUUCGAAAUAUAACUACAAUUAAGAUUCCCAAUUUCACAUCUCCAUGAUUGAUUGUUAGUCUUACCACACUGUCUCCCAUUAUCCUGUGCAAUUACAACACACUGAACCCACUUAUUAUAACAUAGUCCCCUAGUUCAAUGUGCUUGCUUGGGAAUCAUCUUCUUUGAUACAAUUUGUCCCAUAAACUAGAAUUUUAUUUAUUUAGCUUCGCAUUUGGAAUCAUAUCAAAAACUCACAUACUAUGAUAAGUAAUGAUUCUCAACAAAUAUCAUUAAUUCAAAUGACCUUUUAUACCUCGUCAAAAUCUAGGGUUAUCACCCCAAAAGUUUAUCACGUUAAUCAGUCUCCAUUUCUUAGUACUGCAAAAAUAUAUUCAUUGCUAGAUCUGGUAAUUGCUUGAAUCAUUAAUGACUUUCCACAUCAGUCUUUAGUAAUUAUUUAUCAACCAUGCCACGAAGAUAAAUAUCUUUCCUUAACAAUCAUAGUGCUAGUCCAAUUCUAUCCUACCAAAAGAUUCCCAUAUACCUCCAAUCACUUAAAUAGCUACUUUAUAAUACAUUCUAGUCACACACUUUAAAAGCCAAACUAUUAACUUCUUUGUACAAAUAACUAUUAUCUCUUUUAUUCUACAUCUACCUAGAGUUAAAGUAGUACAAAAUCCUACGAAAAUAUUACAUGUCAUUAGGAUCAUCAUCUUAAUCUGAUCUUAUCGAAAGAUUAUACUCCAAGUCCUUCUUAAGAUCCUCUUUCGAGUUCUCCUCCUCUUGAGAUUUUCUCUUUUGUUCCUCAAUCCAGGCUUGUUGUAUUCUCUUACAUUCCUCAUAACUCACCGGUGCAGCAUUUCUUCCACAACCAGGAGGAAAAUGUUGUACAACAUUCACCUUCCUACGGGGAUUAUUUGCAAUAGUUACUUUCUCCUUAUUCUUUUCCUAUUGUUCAUUUACAUUCAUCCCACAGCCUAGAGGAUAGUGUUGAACAACUGACACGCCCUUCCUAGGACGAAUACCUCCCCUUGCAAUUGCCUUCCUCGCCCAUUCUCUAUGGUACUCUUCAGGUUGUUUCAAAAGGAAAUCUUUUACAAUUUUUGGAGUAUCAGAGCUGCUCUCACUUUCAAAAUUCUUGUUACACUUGAAGCUUUCCUUAUUACUAUCAGCACUUUUUAGACUACUUGGUUCAAGUUGCCAUCGGCUCAUAGCAAUAGAAUCUAAUGAUCCCUCACUAGCACUAUGAGGGGUAUCGGGACUAUCGCCUCUUCUAGACAUGGUGUGUGUGUCACUAGCAUACUUCAAAACCUAUACGCAACCAAGUAGUAAUUACUUAAUCAUUUACGCAUCACCAGAGCAGGUAGGUUUCUAUAUGCAGAUGCAUGCAUUCGACUCAACGUAACUUAACUUAACUCAAGGCCACACUGACACUGUAAAUUUUAAAAUAACUUUAAAACAGUUUUAAACCCAAAAGCUCUAAUCUUUAAAAACAAAAGCUUUGAUAACAAUCCAAUUGUCACGAUCGGGAAGUCUCAUCGAGCCCGUGACAACCGCCGCGAAGUCCUGAUAGACAUUCAUUAUCCGGAAUGUCAAUCGAAACAUCGUAAGGCUUAACAUCAGUUUUUCUCGCUUCCCCUGUGAGUAUUAGUUACUAAAAUCAUGUUUUGAGAGAUUAUAAACUAUUUUCAAAUCAAAACAAUAGAAAAAUCAUUUUUUCUCACAGGGGCAUUUUGGUCAUUUUUCUUCAAAAAUCUUGAAAUUUGCUAAAAUAUAGUAUGCGAGUACAAAACACAUAAUUCAUAAUCAAAAAUAAGUUUAAACAUCUAAAACCCUUUUUUAAAAUGAAAUUAUGAUUAUUUGGAUAUAAUAAAAAAUAAAAGAAAUAUUCAAUAAAAUAUUCUAUUUUCUUAUAAAACAAUAUUUUUAGAGUUAUACGUAAAUAAUUUUUUUUUCAGCAUAAAAGCAAAAUACAUUCAUACAUACAGUAAUACAGUAAGCCAGAGUAUUUAAUUUAAUUUACAAUAACUAGUGGGCCUCAAAUAACCAAAAGUAAGGAAGACUAUGAACCUACAGUUUGAAGGAUGCAAAUCCAAUGGUAGCCUCAAUGAAAUCCGCUAUCUACAGCCUAUUUUGAGCCUGAAAUGGGUGGAAAUGAGGGUGGUGAGAUUAUAUAAUCCCAGUGAGUAAACAAAUACCAUCUAAAAUAUCUAAAGCUGAGUAAAUGGAGACAGAUUAAAAUAGAUCAUCAUACUGUAAUUUAUCACCUUUCAACUCAUUUUAACCAAAUAAAAUCAAUUCAUAUAAAUCGAGUAAUCAACAUGGCUUAUGAAUUUCUUAAAACUUUGGCUUGUGCCAAAAUCAUUCUCAUACUCAGUUAUCAGGGAUACCUUAGCAUGGGGCUAUCCCAACCGAGUCCACCAAGGCUGUUAAAAAUUUCGUACACACAUAAACAUAUUUUUAUUUUGAAAACAUAGCUGUUCCUUGGCGUUGGCUGAGUUCACCCUCACGUGAUGGUUUGGCGUGAAGUGAACUAUAAGAGUGUACCUCGGGAGUUACCCUACACGCCUCUCUGACCGAGGUAAGAAUAUAACAGGGUUACCGUGCCCCUCUAAUAGGCUGGUCCACGGAACCUGCCCACUGCAGCAAGCUAAGCCCACCAAUUCAAUAAAAUCUUAACCGCAUGACAUGGCAAUUAUAUCACAAUCCAGCCUCUCAAGGCUAAAUACACAGUUCAUAUAUUUUCAUCACAUUUACCAAUUCAGUCAUUCAUGCAAAUAUUGUCAUAAGCCAUUCGAUUCAAACCAUGAAUUUACAACACAUGAAAAUAGUCUCCAAUUACUCUAUUUUCAAAACCAUCAUUCAAUCUCAAGACAAUUUUAUAAAAUCAUUUUCAUUUAAUCUCAUUUUGCUUAUAAAACAUAAAGAUUUACUAUUUAAACUCAUUUUCCAUAAAAUCACAAAAUCGGAUAAAACCAUUUUAGAUAAUUAAGACGAUAGUAAGGUUACUCACUAUUUCGGGAGUCGAAUUCCAAGUACUUCGAUUCUUGAUCCUCGGGUACUAUCUCUUUACUUUUGCCAAAAUGCUCACCACCUAGACAUAAUGCACAAUAAGCCAUUUACUACAUUUGUGCUAAAUUGUUAUAAAACCAAUUCAGGCUCUAUACUAAUGCAUGAAAUGGGAUGUAAAUUGUUCGGAUUAUCGUCUAAACACGAUGUUUUACACAAAUUCAAUUAUGUACUUAAAUAAAACGGUAUUGGCCAAUUUCGAUCUAUCACUCGAUUAAUUGGCCAAUAUGUCCAAUUCAACUCCAAUUAACUCCAUUUGUCUUCCAAUUCUCCAAAUCAUCAAACACAAAUUAAAUAACUUGAAAUUUGGCAAAAUCAUCCUCACAUUUUUUCUUGGGAAUUUCGACCAUGGUGGGUGCAUCAACACUAUGAUUUUCCUACUUGAUUUUCUCACCAUAAUUCAUCAUUUCCUAACCAAUUCACUUGAAAUAAAAUCAAAUCCACCAUCCACACUUUACAUGGAUAAUUCAGCCAAUGAUGGGUGAUGGAAGAACAUGAAUUUUUCUUACUUGAUUUUCAUGCUACACAUCACUAACUAACUAAAAACACUAAAAUAUAAAAAAAUCUAACCAAAUCAAGCAUCAAAACUCCUCCCCCCAUGGUCGGCCAGCAAGGGAUUCAUCAUGCAAACUUGAUUCUCAACCAUGGAAAAUGCAAAAUAAUGCAUAGGAAAGGUAGAUCACAAGCUAGAAUUGAAAAAUCUUACCUUUUUUCACUUGUUUCUUUGAAUUUUCACACUUUUCCCUUGAAUUUUUCCACCUAGGGUUUUUGUUCUUCUUUUCUU
Molecule: long non-coding RNA, 10667 nt
Filed under: Theobroma cacao (cacao)
Lineage: Eukaryota; Viridiplantae; Streptophyta; Magnoliopsida; Malvales; Malvaceae
Description: long non-coding RNA (TCAC_LNC001981)
Source: RNAcentral